UUUUUUUUUCUACCUAUUUGGUUUCUGGGAAAACUUCCUUUCUUAAGAAAGUUGGUUCCUUCUCAAAAAUUUUAUGAUGCUUGUUUGAAAAUCCUGCCGUCACUUUUAUUCGGACGAAAACAGUGUUUAGGAGAGUCCAGCUUCUUCUUCUUCUUCUUCUUAUUCUUCUUCUUCUUCACAUCCAAGAUUAUUUUUUAUUUGUUUAUUUAGGAUAAAAUGCAAUAGAUCCAGCUGUGUUUUAAGGUCGAAAUUCAUGGGAAUUUGUUUUAGCAUAGAAAAUAAGCAAGUAUCUCAAGAACAACGGCAAUUAUCUUCUAAGAAAGGACAAGACUUUGAUCAGCCAGCAAGUAAAUUAAGUAGGCCAGACUCAUUUGACGUAAAAAGCGCCAGCAACACUCCAUUGGUCCCCAAGAAUGUCACUGAUCUACGCCAGAAUCCAGGAUAUAGUAAUGUUGACAUCUUUGCAUAUGAGGAAAUGAAAUUGGCCACAAAGCAUUUCCGACCUGAUUUCAUUCUUGGCGAGGGUGGAUUUGGAGUUGUUUAUAAGGGUGUCAUAGACAAAAGCAUAAGACUUGGUUAUGAGACCAUGGUUGUUGCCAUCAAAGAGCUUAAUCCUGAUGGGUUACAAGGUGACAGAGAAUGGCUGGCAGAAGUCAUAUUUCUCGGGCAACUUUCUCAUCCAAAUUUGGUGAAAUUGAUUGGAUACUGCUGUGAAGCUGAACACCGGGUAUUAAUAUAUGAGUAUAUGGCUCGGGGUAGCGUGGAAAACAAUCUAUUUUCAAGUAAGAAUCUCAGAACUACUCUUUACAAUAUUGAAAUCCUGAAAAGAACGUUCCUUGUUGAUCUUGGAUGCUUAAAUAAAAUAAAUAAUGCAGAUUUUAUCAAGGAAAACAUGCCAUAUCAAGUCAAAUACGGCAAUUUACUUCCCAGGAAAAUGAUUCAAAAGAGUUUCAUUUCUAUCUAUUUCUUUCAUUUAGCAGCCCUUGCCUACCUUUUAUUUUCUUGACUCUAGACGACUUGUCUUUUGCAAACUUAAUUUCCAUAAAGCUGAGAUUGUAAGAGCCAGGUUGCCAUGUAAGAACAUUGCUUUUGAAUGCAAUAGAGCUUUAUUUUUGUGUUUGAAAGUAAUUUAACAAAAGCCAUAAUGGUUUAUAGCAGCCUACAUCUGACAUCUGAUUUUACUUUCAAAGAAGGUGAUAGUGAAAAAGGUAGAGUACAGUAGAUGGGGGUUAUAGAAUUAAAAUGUUAUCUGGUCUGGUAGAGGUAGUUCUUUUAGAUGGAAGUGAUUCCUAUGGAAAGUGAUCACAAAAAGCCACAAGAAAGGUACUAAUAUGUUAUAUACACAAUAUUGAGAGUUAUACCCAGCAGACCCCUAAUAAUUACUUAAUAUUACCCAAAGAGUUAUGUUUUUCAUUAAUUUUUUUUUUGGGAGCAUAUCUAAAGUUACUAUGGCAUAAUGUACUUUUCUCAGUUUGAUGGCGAAGAAUAAUCCAUAUAACUGACCCCAACUUAUAUUUCUCAUCUUUUGAGAAAUGUAACAAUGUAUGUAUUCCGUGUUGCAGGAGUAUUGCUUCCUCUUCCAUGGUACAUUAGAAUGAAGAUUGCAUUUGGUGCAGCAAAAGGACUUGCCUUUCUCCAUGAAGCUGAAAAACCUGUUAUCUAUCGUGAUUUUAAGACGUCUAAUAUUCUACUUGACCUGGUUAGUUUAUUGUAACUUGAGAAAAGACCAUGAAAUAAUUUACUUGGGUUAAAUUUCUUCCUGCUUAAAUUGAAACUACCAAAAGAUGAGCUUUUAUUUCUGCCAAUAACAAGAGAGUUUCUAACUGGGGAAGCUGUGAUAAUUUGUUGUAGUACCCAUAGACAAUGGAUAAGAAGAACAAUACAUACGGCACACCUAUUCUUUUACAAUUUGUGAAAAGUUUCCUCGUGGCAAAACAGAGGUUUCUUACACUAGUUGAGUCCACAUACAGUACAUGAAUGUCUUUUGUUUUAACAGAACUGCUGAGCAUUAAUUGAAUCCACAUGAAUCUGGAAAUUUAACAUUUCCUUUUUCUAUUCUUUUUCCCUUCCAAUAAUAGGCAUCAAAGGUCAUCAAUUUGUGCAGAAUCUGCUUACAUUUGUGGUUUUAUGCUCAUACAGGAAUAUAAUGCAAAGCUCUCUGAUUUUGGUCUUGCAAAAGAUGGACCUAUGGGAGACAAAACUCAUGUUUCCACACGCAUAAUGGGAACUUAUGGGUAUGCAGCACCUGAAUAUAUAAUGACAGGUAACUUUCCACCAAAUUCUCCACUUUUCUUUGUUUGCAGGCUCUCAGAGAUAGGGUGGCCUUCACGUAAUUGAAAUUUGUUCUUAAUUAGCAUUUGAAAUGAGCUAAUGCAAUGCAUAGCAUUCAAAUGUAGUUGAUCACUUUCAUGGUGGUCCGAGGAAUCACUGCCAUGAAUUAGAACUGAUAUUAACCCUUCAACUUAUGUGCAGGCCAUCUUACUCCUAGAAGUGAUGUAUACAGCUUUGGUGUUGUUCUUCUUGAGCUUCUCACAGGCAGAAAAUCUUUAGACAAAUCACGACCAACCCGAGAGCAGAACCUUGCAGAUUGGGCUCUCCCUUUGCUAAAAGAGAAAAAGAAAUUGCUCAACAUUGUAGACCCAAGAUUAGAGGGAGAUUACCCUAUUAAAGGAGUCCACAAGGCAGCUAUGCUAGCCUAUCAUAGCUUGAACCGAAAUCCGAAAGCGAGGCCUCUAAUGCGAGAUAUAGUUGAUUCAUUGGAGCCUCUGCAGGUUCCUGAAGAAGCUUCAAAUGGAAAAUCUGUGUUUACUGUCAUUAACAACGUAGCGGAUGGCGAGUUAAAAACAAAAGAAGAUUCACUGUAACUGCAUGAGUCUGAUUCUGUUUUGUUAAGCUUCUUCUCUAGUGCAAUGGUUGAGUUUUUGCAGUAGAUAGCUUUCCUUGUGCGUAUCUAAUGCCUUAACCUUUUCUUCUUUUCUUUUCAUUUCCUUUUUAAUUUUUUUGCCCUGAUUAUGAUAUCCUGGAAGAUGGAUUACUGUAAAAAUGAAUAUCAUUAGUGAUAUGUGUUACCCACACUUUAUUUUGUAGCGUUUGGUUGGCUGUUAAAAAUGUAAUUUUUACUUUUUUUUUUUCUUUAAAA
This 3139-nucleotide unclassified non-coding RNA is filed under the name Hevea brasiliensis (rubber tree). Lineage: Eukaryota; Viridiplantae; Streptophyta; Magnoliopsida; Malpighiales; Euphorbiaceae. The record is from RNAcentral.